This 467-nucleotide ribosomal RNA is filed under the name uncultured bacterium. Its description in RNAcentral is "partial 16S ribosomal RNA". It matches the Rfam family "Bacterial small subunit ribosomal RNA", at positions 28 to 506 of the family's 1533-position model. The record is from RNAcentral.
GACGAACGCUGGCGGCGUGCUUAACACAUGCAAGUCGAACGGAAAGGCCCUGCUUUUGUGGGGUGCUCGAGUGGCGAACGGGUGAGUAACACGUGAGUAACCUGCCCUUGACUUUGGGAUAACUUCAGGAAACUGGGGCUAAUACCGGAUAGGAGCUCCUGCUGCAUGGUGGGGGUUGGAAAGUUUCGGCGGUUGGGGAUGGACUCGCGGCUUAUCAGCUUGUUGGUGGGGUAGUGGCUUACCAAGGCUUUGACGGGUAGCCGGCCUGAGAGGGUGACCGGCCACAUUGGGACGGAGAGACGGCCCAGACGCAUACGGGAGGCAGCAGUGGAGAAUAUUGCACAAUGGGCGGAAGCCUGAUGCAGCAACGCCGCGUGCGGGAUGACGGCCUUCGGGUGGUAAACCGCUUUCGCCUGUGACGAAGCGUGAGGGACGGUAAUGGGUAAAGAAGCACCGGCUAACUACGU